CUAACCCCUAGUCCUGACAGUUUUUAAAAAUAUCUAUAAAAAUGUCUCAGUAACCGCAGCUUCGUUAUACUGGUGUAUAGAGGCGGCGGGGAGACCCUCAAAAUACAAUUUUAGACACGGCUCCUUCUGAAAACUACUAUAAAUGACAUGUUUCUAGAGUUGCCGAAAAUCAAAUUUAUACCAGCGUAAUUAAUACCAAUACGUACCAAGUACCAUAUAGACCAAUGAAAUUUCCCACACAAGCGACAAGCGCUACAGGAUUCUAAGACUUUGCCGAGUGCUCGAGCACUCGGCAAAGGCUUUGCCGAGCGCCCACUCGGCAAAGGCCGCUCGGCCAAGAAUUAAUCAGCAAAAAGAUUCUUUGCCGAGUGCCACGUGUCAGGCACUCGGCAAAGGCUUUGCUGAGUGCCACAUCAGCACUUGACAAAGACAAAAAAUGAAAAAAAUCCCAACA
RNAcentral lists this long non-coding RNA (454 nucleotides) under Sorghum bicolor (sorghum). Its description in RNAcentral is "long non-coding RNA (SBIC_LNC008081)". The record is from RNAcentral. Lineage: Eukaryota; Viridiplantae; Streptophyta; Magnoliopsida; Poales; Poaceae.